GUGGGCCUAGCGGUGGGGGUUCCCUUCCUUACUAAAGAUACGCAUUGUGCAGUGUCCACACAGAUUGUCUGAUGAAAUUAAUGAGCAAGAGCACCUGUUGAUGCGGUAAGGGUAACCUUACGCUGAUGCGAAAAGUGCCAGGGCACGAAAGUGGACUGGUACGGAAUUUUCGUGUCCCCAUCGUCUAGAGGCCUAGGACACUGCCCUUUCACGGCUGUAACAGGGGUUCGAAUCCCCUUGGGGACGCCAUUCCGAUAAUGAGUGAAAGACAUUAUCACCGGUUCUGACGAACCAAAAUACCUUAAAGAUGACUCUCACGAGUCGUGUUUAAAAUAUUGCUCUUUAACAAUCUGGAACAAGCUGAAAAUUGAAACGACACAGCUGAAACUUAUCUCUCCGUAAAUGUACUGAGAUAAGGAGUACCCUGUGUUGAGUCUCUCAAGACUCGCAAACCGAAGUGAAACACCUUCGGGUUGUGAGGUUAAGCGACUAAGCGUACACGGUGGAUGCCUUGGCA
This 517-nucleotide unclassified non-coding RNA is filed under the name Ewingella sp. 10 JD-2014. Its description in RNAcentral is "partial may contain 16S ribosomal RNA, 16S-23S ribosomal RNA intergenic spacer, and 23S ribosomal RNA". The stretch from base 341 to 472 matches the Rfam family "Salmonella enterica Typhi npcRNA 44". Lineage: Bacteria; Pseudomonadati; Pseudomonadota; Gammaproteobacteria; Enterobacterales; Yersiniaceae. The record is from RNAcentral.